UACGUAGGUGGCAAGCGUUGUCCGGAAUUAUUGGGCGUAAAGAGCUCGUAGGCGGUGUGUCGCGUCGGCCGUGAAAACCUGCAGCUUAACUGUGGGCUUGCGGUCGAUACGGGCAUCACUGGAGUUCGGCAGGGGAGACUGGAAUUCCUGGUGUAGCGGUGAGAUGCGCAGAUAUCAGGAGGAACACCGGUGGCGAAGGCGGGUCUCUGGGCCGAUACUGACGCUGAGGAGCGAAAGCGUGGGGAGCGAACAGG
RNAcentral lists this ribosomal RNA (254 nucleotides) under uncultured bacterium. Its description in RNAcentral is "partial 16S ribosomal RNA". It matches the Rfam family "Bacterial small subunit ribosomal RNA", at positions 524 to 776 of the family's 1533-position model. The record is from RNAcentral.